CCCUUAGACACUCUAGGCGGCACGCGCGCUACAAUGGGUGGAUGACUGUGUUACUGCUUUCGAAAGAGAGGGUGAAUCACGAAUUCUUACCCGUGAAUGGGAUAGUUUGUUGCAAUUUUCGGACUUGAACUAGGAAUCCCUUGUAAGCGCGCUCAAGAAUAGUGCGCUGAAUACGGCCCUGCCGUUUGUACACACCGCCCGUCGUUUCUUCCGACUGAUACGAAUUGUGAGUUGCAAGGACCGCACUGGGAAUUGCCGCGAAUGCUUCGUAUUGGAGGAAGAAAAAGUCGUAACA
Molecule: ribosomal RNA, 295 nt
Filed under: uncultured eukaryote
Lineage: Eukaryota
Description: partial 18S ribosomal RNA
Rfam family: Eukaryotic small subunit ribosomal RNA
Source: RNAcentral